CCCUCACCACAACCCUAAGAGCACACUGCACAGUCACACCUUGUGUGUGUAAGAAGGAAAAGGAUCACAUGUCUCCCCAGUGAACCACAGGGUAAAUGAACCAGUGACCCUGAGAAAUAAACAAUCUGCCUGGUUCUUUCAUCUCUGCAAAGGAAGUUUCUUUCUGUUCACUACUUGACUAGCUGGAAUUCCACCCAGGAAGACACAGCAUUCCUAUCCUCCAGAGGAUUUGGCUCUCAAGAUGCCAUCUUGGAAGCAGAAAGCAG
This is a long non-coding RNA of Homo sapiens (human), 266 nucleotides long. RefSeq lists it as uncharacterized. Lineage: Eukaryota; Metazoa; Chordata; Mammalia; Primates; Hominidae. The record is from RefSeq and is a predicted model, not a curated record. The transcript is spliced from 4 exons.